Molecule: transfer RNA, 94 nt
Filed under: Periphykon beckeri
Lineage: Eukaryota; Rhodophyta; Florideophyceae; Ceramiales; Rhodomelaceae
Description: tRNA-Ser
Rfam family: tRNA
About the family: Transfer RNA (tRNA) molecules are approximately 80 nucleotides in length. Their secondary structure includes four short double-helical elements and three loops (D, anti-codon, and T loops).
Source: RNAcentral
GAGGGAGUGGCUGAGAGGUUGAAAGCGAUAAUUUGCUAAAUUGUUAUAUCUUAAUUAAAUAUAGAUAUCAUAGGUUCGAAUCCUAUUUUCCUUA